Molecule: ribosomal RNA, 465 nt
Filed under: uncultured bacterium
Lineage: Bacteria
Description: partial 16S ribosomal RNA
Rfam family: Bacterial small subunit ribosomal RNA
Source: RNAcentral
CUACGGGUCGCUCCAGUGAGGAAUUUUGCGCAAUGGGGGGAACCCUGACGCAGCAACGCCGCGUGAGUGAUGAAGGCUUUCGGGUCGUAAAGCUCUGUCAAGUGGGAAGAACCUAUGCAGUGUUAAUAUCACUGUAUACUGACGGUACCACUGAAGGAAGCACCGGCUAACUCCGUGCCAGCAGCCGCGGUAAUACGGGGGGUGCAAGCGUUAUUCGGAAUCAUUGGGCGUAAAGGGCACGUAGGCGGCUUGGUAAGUCAGAUGUGAAAGCCCGGGGCUUAACGCCGGAAGUGCAUUUGAUACUGUCAGGCUUGAGUAUGGGAGAGGGAAGUGGAAUUCCUGGUGUAGAGGUGACAUUCGUAGAUAUCAGGAGGAACACCGGUGGCGAAGGCGACUUCCUGGACCAAUACUGACGCUGAGGUGCGAAGGCGUGGGUAGCAAACAGGAUUAGAUACCCCGGUAGUC